Molecule: small RNA, 450 nt
Filed under: Histoplasma capsulatum var. duboisii H88
Lineage: Eukaryota; Fungi; Ascomycota; Eurotiomycetes; Onygenales; Ajellomycetaceae
Description: Histoplasma capsulatum H88 hypothetical RNA
Source: RNAcentral
CAUCAUACAGCCCAUUCCAUAUCCCAUUGAGCCCAUUUCCUGGUAAUCUUUUAUCCUGGUUUGUGGCUGUAAUACUUGCGUCCAAAACCAUCGGCUGGAAUGGCACUGCCACUUGCUCAAUCAGCAUCUCUAGAGGCAGAAGAUUCCUAUUUAAUUGCUUAUCCAGAGCCAUCCCUAUUGCUGACUGAAAAAGAAAAUAUAUUGAAGAUCUAACCAAAGGGGAAAAAAAAACCUGAUGGUGAUCCUAACCUUCUAUCUGCCGCCUUUCUCGCUCAGUCUAUUCGAGGUAUGUAGCCUCAGGAUGAGAUUCAUUUUGACGAAAGUCUGCCACGUAAGCUGCGAACGCCAUGCCAUAAAAUUUUUACCUUCUCACUAGCUAUGUUCACAGGUGCCGGAGGAGAUAUUCUUCAAAUAAUGAGAUUUUCCAUGAUAGUUUCAUUUGUCGUUGCU